UGAUUAGGCGGGACAUGGAACAGUUACAGCUCACCGAGGACAUGACCCUAGAUAGGAAGGUCUGGAGGGCGCGAAUUACGGCAGAGGAUUAGGGCCAGUUUGGGUCGCUAGUGUAGGGAAUUACUUGGUGGGGGUUUUAUUCCUGUUAUGAUUCCGUGUUCCGUGUUCCAUGUUUCAUUACGAAUCUGUGUGCUUUCCUCUG
This 202-nucleotide long non-coding RNA is filed under the name Capsicum annuum. Its description in RNAcentral is "long non-coding RNA (CANN_LNC016873)". Lineage: Eukaryota; Viridiplantae; Streptophyta; Magnoliopsida; Solanales; Solanaceae. The record is from RNAcentral.